AGAGUUUGAUCCUGGCUCAGAAUGAACGCUGGCGGCGUGCUUAACACAUGCAAGUCGUACGAGAACGCUUCAGCUUGCUGAAGCUAGUAAAGUGGCGUACGGGUGAGUAACGCGUGGGUAAUCUACCUCCGAAUUGGGGAUAACGUUGCGAAAGUGACGCUAAUACCGGAUAACAUCUUAAGGGCUUUGGUCCUUUUGAUCAAAGGUGGCCUCUCCUUGGAAGCUAUUGUUUGGAGAUGAGCCCGCGUCCCAUUAGCUUGUUGGUGGGGUAAUGGCCUACCAAGGCAACGAUGGGUAGCUGGUCUGAGAGGAUGAUCAGCCACACUGGAACUGACACACGGUCCAGACUCCUACGGGAGGCAGCAGUGAGGAAUUUUGCGCAAUGGGGGAAACCCUGACGCAGCAACGCCGCGUGAGUGAUGAAGGCUUUCGGGUCGUAAAGCUCUGUCAAGUGGGAAGAACCACUUUGAGGUUAAUACCCUCGAAGUCUGACGGUACCACUGAAGGAAGCACCGGCUAACUCCG
This 525-nucleotide ribosomal RNA is filed under the name uncultured Desulfosarcina sp. Its description in RNAcentral is "bacterial SSU rRNA". It matches the Rfam family "Bacterial small subunit ribosomal RNA", at positions 8 to 505 of the family's 1533-position model. The record is from RNAcentral. Lineage: Bacteria; Pseudomonadati; Thermodesulfobacteriota; Desulfobacteria; Desulfobacterales; Desulfosarcinaceae.